RNAcentral lists this long non-coding RNA (272 nucleotides) under Panax ginseng (ginseng). RNAcentral describes it as "long non-coding RNA (PGIN_LNC008409)". The record is from RNAcentral. Lineage: Eukaryota; Viridiplantae; Streptophyta; Magnoliopsida; Apiales; Araliaceae.
AGACUGUUUAGUUCAUAUCGUUAGUUCAUGUCCCUCCCAGUUAAACUUGCCCAUAUUGUGUUUCUAUUAUGGAUUAUUGAUUACUGUUAUGCUGAUAUGCAAAUUUAUCUGUGUAGAAUUUCUGAACUCGCACCGCGGUGCCAUGCUUUACAUAAGGAGCUCACACCCCGGUGCCAUAUAUCGCGCCCCAGCGCCAUCUAAAGCAAUGACCCACUGCUAAUCUGCGCCCCGAUGCCAUGUGUCGCGCCCCAGCGCCAAUUCUGGUUCUUGCC